GGACCCGCACAAGUAGUGGAGCAUGUGGUUUAAUUCGAAGAUACGCGCAGAACCUUACCAACACUUGACAUGUUCGUCGCGACUUUAAGAGAUUAAAGUUUUCGGUUCGGCCGGACGAAACACAGGUGCUGCAUGGCUGUCGUCAGCUCGUGUCGUGAGAUGUUGGUUAAGUCCCGCAACGAGCGCAACCCUCACUUUUAGUUGCCAUCAUUAAGUUGGGCACUCUGAAAGAACUGCCAGUGAUAAGCUGGAGGAAGGUGGGGAUGACGUCAAGUCCUCAUGGCCCUUACGUGUUGGGCUACACACGUGCUACAAUGGUAUCUACAACAGGAAGCAAAACUGCGAGGUUAAGCAA
RNAcentral lists this ribosomal RNA (355 nucleotides) under uncultured bacterium. RNAcentral describes it as "bacterial SSU rRNA". It matches the Rfam family "Bacterial small subunit ribosomal RNA", at positions 917 to 1270 of the family's 1533-position model. The record is from RNAcentral.